GCUACUACCGAUUGAAUGGUUUAGCGAGAUGCUCGGAUCGGGCCCAGCUCGUGCGAAAGCAUGUGCCGGGACUGAGAAGAAGUUCAAGCUUGAUCAUUUAGAGGAAGUAAAAGUCGUAACAAGGUUUUCGUAGGUGAACCUGCAGAAGGACA
This 152-nucleotide unclassified non-coding RNA is filed under the name sea anemone metagenome. RNAcentral describes it as "partial contains small subunit ribosomal RNA and internal transcribed spacer 1". It matches the Rfam family "Eukaryotic small subunit ribosomal RNA", at positions 1678 to 1825 of the family's 1831-position model. The record is from RNAcentral.